UACGGGGGGAGCAAGCGUUGUUCGGAUUUACUGGGCGUAAAGGGCGCGUAGGCGGCCAGCACAAGUCAGUUGUGAAAUCUCCGAGCUUAACUCGGAAAGGUCAACUGAUACUGUGCGGCUAGAGUGCGGAAGGGGCAACUGGAAUUCUUGGUGUAGCGGUGAAACGCGUAGAUAUCAAGAGGAACACCUGCGGCGAAGGCGGGUUGCUGGGCCGACACUGACGCUGAGGCGCGAAAGCCAGGGGAGCGAACGGG
Molecule: ribosomal RNA, 254 nt
Filed under: uncultured bacterium
Lineage: Bacteria
Description: partial 16S ribosomal RNA
Rfam family: Bacterial small subunit ribosomal RNA
Source: RNAcentral